CAGCCGCCGCGGUAAUACGAAGGGGGCUAGCGUUGUUCGGAUUUACUGGGCGUAAAGCGCACGUAGGCGGAUCGAUCAGUCAGGGGUGAAAUCCCAGAGCUCAACUCUGGAACUGCCUUUGAUACUGUCGAUCUGGAGUAUGGAAGAGGUGAGUGGAAUUCCGAGUGUAGAGGUGAAAUUCGUAGAUAUUCGGAGGAACACCAGUGGCGAAGGCGGCUCACUGGUCCAUUACUGACGCUGAGGUGCGAAAGCGUGGGGAGCAAACAGGAUUAGAUACCCCAGUAGUCCCUGUCUCUUAUAC
This 301-nucleotide ribosomal RNA is filed under the name uncultured bacterium. Its description in RNAcentral is "partial 16S ribosomal RNA". It matches the Rfam family "Bacterial small subunit ribosomal RNA", at positions 509 to 807 of the family's 1533-position model. The record is from RNAcentral.